AACGAACGCUGGCGGCAUGCCUAACACAUGCAAGUCGAACGAGACCUUCGGGUCUAGUGGCGCACGGGUGCGUAACGCGUGGGAACCUGCCCUUAGGUUCGGAAUAACUCCCCGAAAGGGGUGCUAAUACCGGAUAAUGUCUUCGGACCAAAGAUUUAUCGCCUUUGGAUGGGCCCGCGUUGGAUUAGCUAGUUGGUAGGGUAAAAGCCUACCAAGGCGACGAUCCAUAGCUGGUCUGUGAGGAUGAUCAGCCACACUGGGACUGAGACACGGCCCAGACUCCUACGGAGGGCAGCAGUGGAGAAUAUUAGACGAUGGGCGAAAGCCUGAUCCAGCAGUGCCGCGUGAGUGGUGAAGGCCGUAGGGUUGUAAAGCUCUUUUACCCGGGAUGAUAAUGACAGUACCGGGAGAAUAAGCUCCGGCUAACUCCGUG
RNAcentral lists this ribosomal RNA (433 nucleotides) under uncultured bacterium. RNAcentral describes it as "partial 16S ribosomal RNA". It matches the Rfam family "Bacterial small subunit ribosomal RNA", at positions 29 to 507 of the family's 1533-position model. The record is from RNAcentral.